GACGAACGCUGGCGGCGCGCUUAACACAUGCAAGUCGUGCGGUACCGAUGGCAAGUCUUCUUGACGAGCCUUCGGUAUAGCGGCGGACGGGUGAGUAACACGUGAGUAGCUGUCCUAGGGAGGGGGAUAACACCUGGAAACGGGUGCUAAAACCCCAUAAGCCUCGAAAGAGGUAAAAGUGCAUCACUGCAGUCCUAGGGUGUGCUCGCGGCCUAUCAGCUAGUUGGUGAGGUAAGGGCUCACCAAGGCCAAGACGGGUAGCCGGCCUGAGAGGGUGUACGGCCACACUGGAAUUGAGAUACGGUCCAGACUCCUACGGGAGGCAGCAGUGGGGAAUUUUGGGCAAUGGGCGAAAGCCUGGCCCAGCGACGCCGCGUUGGGGAUGAAGUCCUUCGGGGCGUAAACCUCUGUCCUUGGUGACGAAAAAAUAGACGGUAGCCAAGGAGGAAGCCCCGGCUAACUACGUGCCAGCAGCCGCGGUAAGAGUACUCUAU
RNAcentral lists this ribosomal RNA (494 nucleotides) under uncultured bacterium. RNAcentral's name for it is "bacterial SSU rRNA". It matches the Rfam family "Bacterial small subunit ribosomal RNA", at positions 28 to 531 of the family's 1533-position model. The record is from RNAcentral.